Molecule: transfer RNA, 73 nt
Filed under: Myotis myotis
Lineage: Eukaryota; Metazoa; Chordata; Mammalia; Chiroptera; Vespertilionidae
Also listed under: 1 other name
Rfam family: tRNA
About the family: Transfer RNA (tRNA) molecules are approximately 80 nucleotides in length.
Source: Rfam by way of RNAcentral
GCCAGUGUUGCUCAGUGGGUAGAGCUUCAGCCUGGGAACUGAAGGGUCCCAGGUUCGAUUCUGGUCAAGGGCA